GGGGACUUCCGGUGCUUUACCGGAACUUGUUACUCCACCUCCAGUGUCGGAUACUGCGUGAUCCUCGCUGAAACAAUUUUAAAAUAAAAAUAAUUUUCCUACAUCUCUGCUUGAAACGAUCUACGACUGUGCUAAUAAAAGAGUUGAAACUCUCAUGAAUUUAAUUAUCGUUUACAAAUGAAAAUCGACGGAUUUUACGGAAUGAAUCGAAAGAAGACAAAUGGCGAUAUUAAUAACUCUUGCAGAGAAGAUAUAUUUGAUGCAAUAAAAUUGCCCGAAGGAAGAAGCUUCAAGGCUGAACAUACGUGAUUCGCUCGAAAACUGCACUAUUAAUUAAGGACUCGUUGCUAUUCCAUAAACGUAGCCAACAAAUCGCGGUCAUUGCCGUUCGGAACGCUUCUCGGAAUACAGAUUCAUCCUUUUUCUCUAAUGAAAUAAGAUAAUAUAGGAGAAAGUAAUUGCACAGGUAACAACGAGCUUGUAAUUACUUCGAAUAUCAUUCAAAAUUAGGUUCAAAGGAUUAAAACCCUGUCUUUCCACAAAUCACUAAUUGUACCAGUAUUUUAUUUAUAUUAUAUCGUUUUCGGAACAUAAGAAUGAUACUGUGAAAAAUUUAAAAAUAAUAUAACAUUUAAUAUAGAGUCUUAGAAUCGUGCGUUAAUUCCAGUCAUUUUUCAGAUUAGUUAUGUUAUUUAUCUAAAGAAAUAACAUAAAAUUCACAUUUUUAGAUGAUACGUAUAAGAUAAAUUUGUCUUCAACAAAAAUACUAUAUCGAUAAUUUUGUAAUCUUGUAUCUAAAGUCUACUAAGUAAAAUUAUGUUACAUUUUGAAAUCACUUAUUGUUUCAGAUAAAUCUUGAUGCGCCUUCAUCCACAAACAUUCCGGAAGUGCCAUUAAUUAAGUUUAAUUAUGGUAUAGAAAAGAGAAACCAGAUUUUGUGCUCACAUUCACGAAUUGUUUGACGAUAUAAAAACGUAUCACGAGAGGAUUUCUUAUCGAUGCGAGAUUACUUGUUAUCAAAAUAUCGUAAAGUUCGAUCAGAAGAGAAGACACUUGUGCGAUAUGUUCGUUAUGUCCGCGUUCAUGUAACGUGAAAUUUAUUGCGAGCAUUGUAUAACAUACGCGCACAAGAAAACGAGGUUCAUUCAAAGUUACCUUGAAAUCACGAAUUUCCACGCUUGUCGAUCGAACGACGUGACACGAAAUUGUUACCCAGGAAAUUAUCUUGAUUGGUCAAGAUUUUCGCUCGCCAUUUUUAAAUGUACCUUUUAACUUUCAAAACGAAAGGCUACGAAUUAACUUUGUAUCAAACUGAAAGGUGUUUGAAUUAACUUUACAGCAAAAUAAGAAAAACUUAAAAUUUCAAUAACAUCUCAAAAAUUAAAUUGCACCACUAUGGCAACUGAUUAAUUACAUAAACAAUUUUUGUCUAAAAAAAUUUUCAAACACAUCUCAACUUUCACAUUCGACUGUCAUCUCUUUCUGUGGAAUCAGUCAUUUUUUAUCUCAAUACAAGCAAAAACUCGAAGAAGUCGCAUUCGCACGUGCUUUUGAUAACUUCUGAUUAUCAAUUCCCAGUACAAAGUUUCUCAAGUAAGAAAUUUCUGUUAAUUUCAGGGUGUAUUCUCGAAUCCUCGAUUAGAUCGAUCAACGUCACAAACGAUCACUAUACAGAAGAAUAACGAGCCAGCAGAUCUGCCAAAGCAACUCAGCAUCACUUCCGGAUACCGUUGUUUGUAUAACGAUCGUACAAUUAAC
Molecule: long non-coding RNA, 1758 nt
Organism: Megachile rotundata (alfalfa leafcutting bee)
Lineage: Eukaryota; Metazoa; Arthropoda; Insecta; Hymenoptera; Megachilidae
Source: RefSeq, a predicted model, not a curated record